CCUACGGGGGGCAGCAGUGGGGAAUAUUGGACAAUGGGGGGAACCCUGAUCCAGCCAUGCCGCGUGUGUGAAGAAGGCCCUCGAGUUGUAAAGCACUUUCAGUGAGGAAGAACGCCUGGUGGUUAAUACCCAUCAGGAAAGACAUCACUCACAGAAGAAGCACCGGCUAACUCCGUGCCAGCAGCCGCGGUAAUACGGAGGGUGCGAGCGUUAAUCGGAAUUACUGGGCGUAAAGCGCGCGUAGGUGGCUUGAUAAGCCGGUUGUGAAAGCCCCGGGCUCAACCUGGGAACGGCAUCCGGAACUGUCAAGCUAGAGUGCAGGAGAGGAAGGUAGAAUUCCCGGUGUAGCGGUGAAAUGCGUAGAGAUCGGGAGGAAUACCAGUGGCGAAGGCGGCCUUCUGGACUGACACUGACACUGAGGUGCGAAAGCGUGGGUAGCAAACGGGAUUAGAUACCCUUGUAGUC
Molecule: ribosomal RNA, 465 nt
Filed under: Vreelandella stevensii
Lineage: Bacteria; Pseudomonadati; Pseudomonadota; Gammaproteobacteria; Oceanospirillales; Halomonadaceae
Description: partial 16S ribosomal RNA
Rfam family: Bacterial small subunit ribosomal RNA
Source: RNAcentral